ACGGGGUGGAUGAGUGGCGAACGGGUGAGUAACACGUGAGUAACCUGCCCCCGACUUCGGGAUAAGCCCGGGAAACUGGGUCUAAUACCGGAUAUGACGACCGAAGGCAUCUUUGGUUGUGGAAAGUUUUUUCGGUUGGGGAUGGGCUCGCGGCCUAUCAGUUUGUUGGUGAGGUAAUGGCUCACCAAGACGACGACGGGUAGCCGGCCUGAGAGGGCGACCGGCCACACUGGGACUGAGACACGGCCCAGACUCCUACGGGAGGCAGCAGUGGGGAAUAUUGCACAAUGGGGGAAACCCUGAUGCAGCGACGCAGCGUGCGGGAUGACGGCCUUCGGGUUGUAAACCGCUUUCAGCAGGGAAGAAGCCUUUCGGGGUGACGGUACCUGCAGAAGAAGUACCGGCUAACUACGUGCA
RNAcentral lists this ribosomal RNA (417 nucleotides) under Brevibacterium sp. MRS3. Its description in RNAcentral is "bacterial SSU rRNA". It matches the Rfam family "Bacterial small subunit ribosomal RNA", at positions 82 to 509 of the family's 1533-position model. Lineage: Bacteria; Bacillati; Actinomycetota; Actinomycetes; Micrococcales; Brevibacteriaceae. The record is from RNAcentral.